AGUAUUUUCUGUAGAGAAGGCUGUUCAGAGAGAGAAAGUCAAAUGAAAGAAGAACAUCUUGAAUUUAUACAAUGACUGGGAGAAGGCUUAAUGUGUUCUUAGAAUUGUAACUCCUAUUUGGAGAGAUUGCAAAAAGGAGCACCAGGGACAGAACCCUUGGAAGGGCCACAGGGGAUGGCAAAUGGCUCUCUCAGUUAGCUGGCUGAGCAUGUGAGCAGUCCGUACGACCAAGAUCAUUGUUGUCUCCAGCAGUGGAGAGCACCAGAUCUGAAAUCCCCAGGGCAAUUUCUGUUCAUGGAUAAGCCGGAUAAGCCUGGACUUCCCAAGUGAUGUCACAGUGAGACUUGAGCUUCGAUAACCAAGAACUUCAAGACCAAACCAUCAUUUCAAGAGAUUAUCGAGAAAAUGAAUGUGAGAAGAGCUUGUUGCAGGAAUUUCAUCAGGGGCAUACAAGUCGUGGAUUUGACUGGGACAAUUUCUUGUACAUUUCCAUUGUUUUUAACAAGAGGAGGAAGCUGUGCUGUGAAGGAUCCUUUUUCAUCAUGAUUAUUGCAUCCACAGAAGCAGUGAUAAAUUCUAACAGAUAAUGCAACUCAGUCUACUUGGAUGUUCACACCUGAGACUGGAGAAGACCUGCUGCCUUCUGCAGAGCCAAACAUUCCUCACAUGCUCCUCCACAAUGCUAGUUAAUGCAGCAAGAAUAGUCUUAUAUAGACUAUAAACUCCUGGUACACUGUGUCUACAUUGCUCACUGCAGUAUCCCAACAUCUAAGACCAUGGUCUUAGAUGUCUGGUACAGGACUGGUGCUCAGUAUGCAUUGAAUGAAUAAAUGAAUGAAUAUAGCAAAGCA
Molecule: long non-coding RNA, 851 nt
Organism: Homo sapiens (human)
Lineage: Eukaryota; Metazoa; Chordata; Mammalia; Primates; Hominidae
Product: long intergenic non-protein coding RNA 3004
Source: Ensembl